This 1512-nucleotide ribosomal RNA is filed under the name metagenome. Its description in RNAcentral is "bacterial SSU rRNA". It matches the Rfam family "Bacterial small subunit ribosomal RNA". The record is from RNAcentral.
AGAGUUUGAUCAUGGCUCAGAUUGAACGCUGGCGGCAGGCCUAACACAUGCAAGUCGAACGGUAACAGGAAGCAGCUUGCUGCUUCGCUGACGAGUGGCGGACGGGUGAGUAAUGUCUGGGAAGCUGCCUGAUGGAGGGGGAUAACUACUGGAAACGGUAGCUAAUACCGCAUAAUGUCGCAAGACCAAAGAGGGGGACCUUCGGGCCUCUUGCCAUCGGAUGUGCCCAGAUGGGAUUAGCUUGUUGGUGGGGUAACGGCUCACCAAGGCGACGAUCCCUAGCUGGUCUGAGAGGAUGACCAGCCACACUGGAACUGAGACACGGUCCAGACUCCUACGGGAGGCAGCAGUGGGGAAUAUUGCACAAUGGGCGCAAGCCUGAUGCAGCCAUGCCGCGUGUAUGAAGAAGGCCUUCGGGUUGUAAAGUACUUUCAGCGGGGAGGAAGGGAGUAAAGUUAAUACCUUUGCUCAUUGACGUUACCCGCAGAAGAAGCACCGGCUAACUCCGUGCCAGCAGCCGCGGUAAUACGGAGGGUGCAAGCGUUAAUCGGAAUUACUGGGCGUAAAGCGCACGCAGGCGGUUUGUUAAGUCAGAUGUGAAAUCCCCGGGCUCAACCUGGGAACUGCAUCUGAUACUGGCAAGCUUGAGUCUCGUAGAGGGGGGUAGAAUUCCAGGUGUAGCGGUGAAAUGCGUAGAGAUCUGGAGGAAUACCGGUGGCGAAGGCGGCCCCCUGGACGAAGACUGACGCUCAGGUGCGAAAGCGUGGGGAGCAAACAGGAUUAGAUACCCUGGUAGUCCACGCCGUAAACGAUGUCGACUUGGAGGUUGUGCCCCUGAGGCGUGGCUUCCGGAGCUAACGCGUUAAGUCGACCGCCUGGGGAGUACGGCCGCAAGGUUAAAACUCAAAUGAAUUGACGGGGGCCCGCACAAGCGGUGGAGCAUGUGGUUUAAUUCGAUGCAACGCGAAGAACCUUACCUGGUCUUGACAUCCACGGAAGUUUUCAGAGAUGAGAAUGUGCCUUCGGGAACCGUGAGACAGGUGCUGCAUGGCUGUCGUCAGCUCGUGUUGUGAAAUGUUGGGUUAAGUCCCGCAACGAGCGCAACCCUUAUCCUUUGUUGCCAGCGGUCCGGCCGGGAACUCAAAGGAGACUGCCAGUGAUAAACUGGAGGAAGGUGGGGAUGACGUCAAGUCAUCAUGGCCCUUACGACCAGGGCUACACACGUGCUACAAUGGCGCAUACAAAGAGAAGCGACCUCGCGAGAGCAAGCGGACCUCAUAAAGUGCGUCGUAGUCCGGGUUGGAGUCUGCAACUCGACUCCAUGAAGUCGGAAUCGCUAGUAAUCGUGGAUCAGAAUGCCACGGUGAAUACGUUCCCGGGCCUUGUACACACCGCCCGUCACACCAUGGGAGUGGGUUGCAAAAGAAGUAGGUAGCUUAACCUUCGGGAGGGCGCUUACCACUUUGUGAUUCAUGACUGGGGUGAAGUCGUAACAAGGUAACCGUAGGGGAA